UAGCACCAUUGGUACUAUAACUCCUAACCAAAUUAUCUUGAGACCCAUUAUUGAAAAGAGCUUGAUCAGAAUGGAAAAGACCUUUGCUUGCAACAAGGUUUUUAUAGUAAUUGUUAUCAAAACUUGUUGGAGUGAGAGUAUCAAGUGGUGCUAAAUUGGUGUCACCACCAGAAAGAGGACAAUUUGAUUUCCUUAAGGUUGCAAAGUUUGUGUCAAUGUUGGUUUCAUUGUAUAUGCGAUUUCUGAAAAAUUGGCACUCUCCUUGGCCUAUGGUGUGUGCACCAGAAAGUACUGUGAGGUCACUUGCAGUUAGACCCUUGGCUGAAAACAUUGUAGUGAGAGUGGAAAGGUCAGAAAAUGGUGAAGGGAUUUGACUAUUUGCUGCACUUUGGCUUGCUGUUCUUGCAUCUCUUCUUCCAAGUGGUACUACCCAUGUUGGUCCUCCAAGCUACAAAUAAAAAAUAAAACUAUUAAUAUGGGUGAAAGUGUAACUCAAGUUUCUCUCAGCGAGAUGGAGUAUAAUUUUUUCUAAUAUGUUUUGCAUCAGAAGAAAGAAAUUGGAAUGGAGUAAUGGACCACUCACCAGAAAUACUCCAUCUCUUGCUGCAAGUGCUAGAAUAUCAGCACAAGAUACAGUGGCAUUGCAAGAAGCUUCAACACUGGUUUUAAUGGUGUCAAUCACUUCGAAACCCCUAGCUGAAUUUUUGUUAGGUGCGGCAUUUUUCUCACCGGUAAAGGUGGCAGUGUCAUCCAAUAAGAUUGAUCCAUCACAUCCCUACAAAAUAAACAUAGAAACGUGAUUAUGCAAUUUUUUAAAAAUAUGGCCCAUAUAUAUAUAAUGCAUAAAUAAAUUAUUUUUGAACAUUAUCUUACAUUAACAAAGCAAUCAUGGAAGAACAAGCGAAGUAUAGAAGCCCCGAUCCGAGGUUCUGUUUUGAUAGCACUAGUCAUUUUAUUGCGCACAAUGGUUUGAAGGCUAGGGCAGGUUGUACCAUAGAAGUUAUUAACAAGUUGUGCAUUUGUAGAACAAGCUAAGAGAGAAAAAAUGGAGAGUAUAACAAAUAAUUUCAUAAAGGUAGCCAUAUUAAUAAAUCUCUAAAUUUUAGAGCUUUAAGCUGCCAAUGGAGUAGCUAAACAAAGUGAGUGAAUUCUGAAGAGACAUGUUAAAGAUUAAGCAAUAUAUAUAGAAGAAUUGUGAGGGUCCAUGCAUGCAUGGAGAUUGGUAUAAGAGUCAGAUUGAGAAGAUAUUAUUUAUGAAAAUAAUAAUUUGUCCCAAUUUUCAAAUUUGUCUGCUCAAUACGCGGUUUAAUUUUUGGGAGCAACUGGUGGAGAAAUUUUGUGAGAUAAGAGUAUGAUGGUUACCCAAGAGUAGUUGACUUAAGCUAUAAUAAUAAAACAAAGGAAAAAGCUGCAAAUAAUGGAAGUUUGUGAGGAAAAGCUCAAAGUAUGAAGUCGUCGUUGCAGGUUCGACAUGCAUGUUUAACGUGGACAAAAGCAUUUCAUUGUACAAUAGUUUUUUCAUAAAACAAAGGUAUUAAUCAAUGAUUAAAAUCCUCUAAUAUACUCGGCCGAUUAAUUCGACCGAUUAAACCGAGAAUUGGUCAGUUUGUCGGUUGAUUUCAUUCCGAUUAUAUUGUAACGUGGUUGAACCGAUUGAAAUGCAUACCACAAUAUGUUUAACCGUUUUUUUCCUUCUUGUUUUUAAUUUUAACUUUUUUAAGUAAAAACUGAAUGUGAAAAUAUCUUAUAAAAGAAAUGAUAUCUCAACUAAGUUGACAAGCGAAAACUAUCAUCUUUCAUUUGUAGCGCUUCUGAAUUUUAAAUUUUAAUAUUUUUUACUUAUUUCGGUAUUUGUCAUCCAAAUCAACCGUGCUUGAACCACAUUAUUAUCAAGAGUUUGGCUGGUCAUGAGAUUUUGAAUGUCAUGGAAGAACAAAUAGACCGGUGCUCUUGUAAUAACUUCAACUUUAUCUCCUUGCAUUUUUUCAUUCAAUCAAGGUAUGCCUAUUUAAUUGUCAAGUAUAAUAGGAUUAAUUUAAGUUUUUUGUCCCCUAUGUUUAAUUACUCACGAAAUUAGUCCCCCAAUUAUAUGAUUUACAAUGUUUGUUCAACUUUUAUUUUACUAACGGUCAAAAAACUUUUAUUUUAUUAAUUAAUAUAUAAUGAGAUGAGAUUGAGAUUGCUUUGUGUGACAUUGUAAUUUAAGAAGGUAUUUAAGAAUUUAUCAAUAAUUAAUUUUUUUUUGACCAACAAUAAUUAAUUAUUAUUUAUGUAUUGGUGAACCAAAAAAAUCCAGCGUGGCAUAUGUUCUUAUUCAAAAAAGAAAUAGCGUGGCAUGCAAAAACUCCAAUCAUCCAUUCAGCACAAGUACUAAUCAUUAACAUUAUAUGACAGUUAUUAGUUUGACCAAUAUUUCACUCAUAGUUGUAUGCAUGGACAUCAACUUGAUUAGAGUUUUUAUUCAAAACGUAAAGAAUUCUAGCUAACACGAGAAAACGCAAAGAGUUUGGGCUAAUUAGUCAAACACAUCUACAUCGUUCUUUGAUUUUUGGUGAUGACAAAUUCAUAUUGCUGAUUAAUUAUUUAUUAUUUUUAAAAUAACCUAUCGACUAUAAUUUCAUCUCUUAAGUGAAUAAAUAAAAAAAUUUAGAUUCAAACACCGACCUUAUAUAUAUAUAUAAUUGGAUACCGAUUAUGUCUUGUAAAUGACUUUUUGGUCAAAAUCAUUUCAUAUCAUUGUCUUAAUUAUACAAAUGGUAUCAUUUUAUAUGAAAAUAUAUCAUUUCAUUGUUUAUAAGAAUCAUACUAAAUUUUUUACAUUUUAUUAUAAAAAAAUAAUCAAUAUUCUCUAUUACGAGUAAUAAAAAUUAAAAAAUAAAUAAAUUUUAUUUCGUUGAAGUUUUUGGAAUACAAGAUUUAGUAAUUAUAAAUUAUAAGCAAUAUAAAAUCAUUUUUUCUUCAAAAAAUAACUCAUUUAACUAUUAAUUUAAAGAUGUAUAAUGUUAACUUGUGCCCUUAGGGCACAUGAUAAGAAUUCCAAUAAUGAAAAUUAUGCAUUGGAAAUUAUGUUAAUUUAUUGUUCAAAAUGUUUAAUAUUAAUUUUUUUUCAUUAAUUUUUACCAUUAGUGACAUGAAAUUAAUGCUUCACAUGUGCCCUAAGGACACAAGUUAACAUGACCUUUUAAAGAUUUGGUGUACUAAUACACUUAAAUUUUCAAAUGUAUCAUAUAAUUUGCCUCGAAUCAAUACAAUACAAAUUGUACUGUGCAAGAUCCGUUAAAAAAAAUUACGAAACAAAUUUUAGGAACAUAUAUUACGGAACAAAUUCUAGGAAUGUAUUAAUUUGUUUUGAACGAAAAUUUCAUGAAGGAUAAUCAUCACAAAUUUCAUGAACGAAAAUUUCAUGAAGCAUACAUUGAAACAAUUUAAAAAAUUAUAUAUGCUAUAUGUUUAACAAACAAUUCAUCUCAUACCCCUUGUUGUGAAUAUUUUCAAUAAACUCGAGAAUUAGUUAAAUAAAUAUUCAACAUCAUGACUAGAUUAAAUUGAAAUAAUAAAAAUACUCCCUCCUGUUUUAUUUAUAAGACUUUUUAAAAAAACAAAUUGGUUCUAUUUAUAAGAAAAAAUCCACUACUUUUAAGAUAUAUUUAUUGUUUAAAAGGUUUUUUAGCCCUUAUUUAAUGUUUGUCCUUUAAAUAUUAGUAAUAGGUAUAUUUAAUAAUGUAGAGAUAUCUAUGAGUGUAUAUUUGUAAAAUCAUUAAAAAGUUGUAACAAUUUAUUAUUGUCUUGGUUUUGAUGUUUAUUUGUGUAUCAUCUAUACAGUCCUUCAUGGAUACAUCACCAUUAAAUUGAAUUCUUUAGAAAUUUACGGAGAAUAAAAAUUAAGUUUUUAAUUUUUGGGGAACUAUACACAAUCAAAUUUUGAUUCCAACAUAAAAUGACUUUUAUCAUUCAUUACUUGAAGUAAAACAAAUACAUGUAUUCCCUUCGUUUCAAAAUGUAAGCAAAAAUGGGUCAACAUAAGUUAUAUAUCUUGUACAAAUUUUGAACCAAAUACAUUAACUUUUGUUGACUAAAUUUUUUCUUACAUUUUGUGAAGGAGGGAGUAUUUGUGAAAAUACAAACAUUCAAAUUAUCCAAAAUGAUAACGCAACAAACAAUACUACUAUUAUCAAUGUGUCUAAGAUCAAGUCACCACAUUGUUUAUUUAAUUGCUUAUAAGCCCUCCAAUAUUCAAUAUCAAUUCACAAGCCUACAAUUCUUUCUGAUCUCCCCAUUAGUCCCAGUGAGAGGACUGAUUUUACUCAGUUUCACCAUAGCAGCAGCAAAGUCUGUAGAAAAAGCAGCCUCAUUGGUACUAUAACUCCUAACCAAAUUAUCUUGAGACCCAUUAUUGAAAAGGACUUGAUCAGAAUGGAAUAGACCUUUGCUUGCAACAAGGUUUUUAUAAUAAUUGUUGUCAAAACUUGUUGGAGUGAGAGUAUCAAGUGGUGCUAAAUUGGUGUCAUUGUCACUAGAAAAAGAACAGUUGGAUUUUCUUAAGGUUGCGAAGUUUGUGUCAAUGUUGGUUUCAUUGUAUAUGCGAGUUCUGAACAAUCGACACUCUCCUUGGCCUAUGGUGUGUGCACCAGAAAGUACUGUGAGAUCACUUGCAGUUAGACCCUUGGCUAAAAACAUUGUAGUGAGUCUGGUUAGGUUAAAGGAUGGUCUAGGGAUUUGGCUAUUUGCUGCACUUUGAUUUGCUGUUCUUGCAUCUCUUCUUCCAAGUGGUACUGUCCAUGAGGGUCCUCCAAGCUACAAAUUAAUUAAUUGAAACAUUGUGUCCAGACAGUGAUGAUGAACCAAAACUAAAAGUAGAAAACAUCGUAAGACAGUGUUUUAUUUGACAAAUGCUCCCGAGAUAUUUUUUAAGCAUUCUAAAAUAAACAAAUUUUCUUUAAAAAAAUUAAAUAUUUUAAUUUACAAUGUAUUCAUUACAUACAUUUUUAUAAAUAUUUACUAUUUAUGGUCCUUAAGAAAUGUCCUACUCGUAAAUAUUUCCCUAUUUUAUAUAUAUUGGUACUUGUUUGUUAUUUCCUUGAUAGAGUGAUUGACAUAAUUCUUCCUUUACCUAAAUAUAUGAGAAGUGAUGUCUCUCUUAUACCGGCAUUAAUUAAUUAAAUAAAAAUCAUACACAUAAAUAUGAAUAGUACUUACACACAUUUGAAUGGUACUUACAUACAUGGAACAUAACACACAUAAUAAACAUUUUCCUAUUAAAAAAUGAACUAAUUUUUGGCCAAAUCGUUGCCAGUUAUAUUAUCUUCUUUUCCAAAUCAAAUUAUUGUUCUAACAAAAACGAAAUUAAGAAAGAAAGAAAUGGAUCACUCACCAGAACUACUCCAUCUCUUGCUGCAAGUGCUAGAAUAUCGGCACAAGAGACAGUGGCAUUGCAUGAAGCUUCAACACUGUUUUUAAUGUUAUCAAUCACUUCGAAACCCUUGACUGAGUUGUUAUUAGGUUGGGCUUUUUUCUCACCGAUAAAGGUGUCAGUAUCAUCCAAUAAAAUUGAUCCAUCGCAUCCCUACAAAAUAAACAAAGAAAUAAAUAGACAUGUGAUUAUAUCUUUAUUUAAAAAUAGAGCCAAUAUAUUUUGUUUCAUAUUUAUAAUGUUAUUUAACGGAUUAUGGAAUUCAGAAUGCAACUUUAUCAUGCUUGUUUUUUCAUGUUUUGAAAUAUAGUUUUCCAUAUUUUUUAAUUCUAAAAAAUAAAUAGUUUUUUCAUGUGUUAGAGGGUAGAGGGUGGAAAUCUAAAUGUUCGGUUUUUGUAGUUAAAAAAAGUGUUCGAUUUUUAUAUAUUUGGCAUAAUUCAUUGUUAUAAAAUCUAUUUGUAAGAUGAAGAGUAUCUCUCUUUAUAAGACUCAAAUCGCAAAAACUAUUUUACCAAAUAGAGUACUACAUAUUGGGGAGUAUAAUUAUACACAUUUUGACAACUUUGAAAGGGAUAAAAACUGUUGACUAUAGAUAUGUAUAUAAUGUAAUAGAACUAUUCAAGACUUUUACUAAUAAAUAUAUCCUAUAUUGUAAGAAUAAGAUAUAAACUGAAAUUAUAUAUAUAUAUAUAUAUAUAUAUAUAUAUAUAUAUAUAUAUAUAUAUAUAUAUAUAUAUAUAUAUAUAAUGCAUUAAUAAAUUAUUUUUUUAACAAUAUCUUACAUUUACAAAACAAUCAUGGAAGAACAAGCGGAGUAUAGAAGCCCCAAUACGGGCUUCUUUUUUGAUAGCACUGGUCAUUGUAUUGCGCACAAUGGUUUGAAGGCAAGGACAAGUUUGGUCAUAGAAGUUAUCAAUAAGUUGUGCAUUGGUAGAACAAGCUAAGAGAUGAAAAAUCGAGAGUGUAAAAAAUAAUUUGGUAAAGGUAGCCAUAUUAUUAAAUCUAUAAGUUUUAUAGCUUUAAGCUACCAAUGGAGAAACCAAACAAAGUGAGUGAAUUGUGAGGAAACAUAUGAAAGACUAACCAAUAUAUAUAGAAGAAUUGUGAGGGUCCAUGCACGCAUGCAUGCAUACAUGGAGAUUGGUAAGAGUCGGAACGAGAAGAUAUUUGUACUCCGUCUCACAAUUAUUGUCUCUUUAACAUUUUUUCUUUUUCUCAAAAUAAUUGUCACUUUACAAUAAUAAUGCAACAUUUAUUACUUUUUUCCACUAUUAUACUCUUAUUUAUUGAAUUUCAUCAAACUUAACUACUCCACUAACUACAAUUAAUAAGGUUGCUUUAAUAAAUACUACUAAUUUUACCAUUGAAAUCAACACAAUUAAUCAUUUCCUUAAUAAUCGUGCAUCAAUAUUUAAACGACUAAUAUUGUGAGACGGAUAAAGUAUUUAUAAAAGAAUAUAUGAUUUUUUUGGUGGAUUUUCACUUUUAAUUAUAUCAUUAAACAAAUUUUUCUAUAAGAGUGUUAUAUUCAUAUUGUCAUUAAAAAAAUUAUAUUAUAUUUGUUAUAUUGUCGGUGUCAUUAAAAAAAAUAAGUAUAGUUUGUUACAAUAUGAAAGUGCAAAAUAUAUAUACAUAAAAUUUUAAUCCAAAUCAAAAUUUAACAAAAACUAUAGUUCAUAAUUUUAACGCAUUAACGCAGUAAAAAGAGCGGACAUACAAACUUUGUACGCUAAUGAAAAUAAUAUUCAUCCCUUAAGAAAAGAUAUAAUUUUCAUCUCAAAAUAGUCUAAUAUACACUUCAAAGACAUCAUUCAUCCCUUAAGAAAAGAUAUAAUUUUCAUCUCAAAAUCGUCUAAUAUACACUUCAAAGACAUUUAAGUCAUACUAAAGCUUCCAUUUUAGUUUCAACGAAUUGAGAAAGAGAUUUUAUUCAACUUUUUUUCAGGAAGGUUUUAUUCUACUUAUUCGCUUGCCAUGCCAACAAAAAGAGAAGAAGUAUAUCCUAUCCUAUAAUAAAACAUCUAAAAGAACUAUUAUAUCUUAUAUGAAAAUCCAUUUUGACAACCAUAUAAACUAAUAAAAAUGGUAAAUAAAACAAAUGCAUCACAUUCAUCUUAUAACAAUGCUUGUUCGGCUUUGAAAUUUUGAUAGUAGUGUAUUGUAUGCAUUAUUGUUGCCACAUAGAGUGAUGAAACUAAAUACAGCUGCUAAAGAAAAAUUCAAAGAAAAUUAUAUUAUCAACAUUUUUUAAAUAUUAGAGAAUUGAUAUUAAAUUAAAUAGAAUUUUACAUUGGCGAUAAAUCUAACAAACAUUUAUUAAGGAGAAUGAUAUUUACAUAGAUAUAAAAAGGCUAAUUUAAUCUAUAAAAAAAUGGAAGGGUAUACUAUAUGUAUAACAUUAGUUAUAACAUUACUGGUAAACAUGGCCAACCAAGUAUUUUUGUCAUAAAAAUCACAACAAAAACAAUAGCCCAGGUGCCUACUUUUGUCUAGAGAAUGAUUGAGAGCAAUAAAUGUCAUUUUUCGUGCUCCAAUUAGAAUUUAUCAAUUAAUGUAAUUUUUCAUGAAGCAUGUGCCAAUAAAGAACGGGGUAGCAGAAUCAUAAUUGCACUUUGUAGCCUUUUAAUCAUGUUUUUAAGGGGUAAUGAUGUCUCCAUUUGGCAUAAUAAGUGGACUAUGCAAUUUGAAGAGAGAUAGACACAUAAAAUAGAUAAUGGAUCUUACUAUUAAUUGAGUCCCACCAUUAUUAAUUACUUUUUAAUUUUUCAAAAAAAAUUUGUGUCUAUAUCUCUCCAAGAAUAAUAAAUUGAGAGGAUUUUAACUCUUUUUUAAGGAGUUAAGAUCUUCUCCAUUUAUUUUCCUCCAUUUAGAGAGGUAAAAACACAUAAAAAGUAAAAAAUAGUUAACGAUGGAAGGACUCACUUAAUGAUAGGACCCACCACCUAUUGUUUGUGUUUAUCUCUCUCCAAAUUGCAUCUUCCAUUUAUUUUUAUAAAUGGAGAGGAUCUUAACCCGUUUUUAAGAUAAAUAGGGAGAUUCAUUUUGGAGGGUUAGGGUUUCUUAUAACAAUGCUUGUUCGACUUUGAAAUUUUGUUAGCACCGAUAUUGCAUGCAUUGUUGUUGCUACUAAGAGCGGUGAAACCAAAUAUAGUUGCUAAAGAAAAAUAUAUUAUCAACAUUUUUUUAAAUAUUGGAGGAUUGAUAUUAAAUUAAAUAGAAUUUGACACUAACAAUAACUCUUACAAACAUUUGUUAAAGAUAAUGUUUUUGGUAUUAACCCUUUGGUUCACAUGGAAAAGGGUCCUUGGUAUUCCGGAGCUCGGUUGAAAGGAAAGUAAAUUCUAACCUAAAAUUGUUUUUUUAGGAGUCGAAUUUAAGUUCUUUUAAACAAUUCAUUUUUGAUGGAGUUUAUUAACUAAUUGACCCCAAUUAUCUGGUUAUUUCUUAAGGAAAAUGAUAAUUAAAUAGAUAUAAAAAGACUAAUUUAACUAUAUAAAAAAAAUGGCAGGACAUACUAUAUGACAUUAGGCACUUAUUAAUAAGUUUAAGGUAGAAAUUUUAUCAUAGAAAUUGUGUAUCCAACCUAUUGAAAUAUUCAAAAGAAAUUCUUUCUACAUAAAAUUUAGCAAUUGUUUUUAUUUUUGAAUCUUUAACAAGCAUCCUUAGAACGCCUGUUAGCAAGACCCUAUGACAUUAGUUAUAUAAACAUUACUUGUAAACAUACCCCGCCAAAAUCCUUUGUCAUAAAAUUUACAACAAAAGCAAUAGCCUAGGUGUCUACUUUUGUAUCAGUAAUGCUAGUAACACUCUCUUUUGAGCACUCUUUAUGAUACUCACUCUCUUAUUGAUUUAAAUCAUUGUGGGUCUACAAUUUAAAAAUUGAAUCAACAUAAAAUGGUGGGACAUACAUUAAUUUUAUCUAAUAAAAGAGUGAGUAAUAGAGAAUGUUGAAAAAUAAGUGUUCAUAGCAUUUCUCACUUUUUUAUAUGGAAUGAUGGAGAGCAAUAAAUAUAAAAUUUCUUUGUGCACCAAUUAGGAUUUAAUAGUUAAUGUAAUUUUUCAUGAAACAUGUGCCAAAGAAAAGUGGUGCGGCAGAAUCAUAAUUGCACAGGUAGCCUUUUAAUAUGUUUUAAGAGGGUUAGGAUCCUCUCCAUUUACGUGUUUCUCCAUUUCUUCAAUUUGGAGAGAUAAAGACAUAUAAAAUCUUGAAAAAAGUAAAAUAUAAUUAAUGAUGGUGGGACCCACUUAGUGGUAGGAUCCACCAUCUAUUUUUUGUGUCUAUCUCUCUCCAACUUGCAAAACUCCAUUUAUUUUGCCAAAUGGAGAGGAUCUUCACCCGUUUUAAGGGGUGUAUUGAAUCAUGAUUCUAAGGGAUUUUAAAAAACUUUUUUAUCAUGAAAAAGUCUUGUGGUAUUCAAUCAAGACUCUUUCCAAUUUAAAAAAAGUUUUGUGUUAUUCAAUCAAGAUUCUUUGUCAUUUAAAAAAAGUCUUGUAAUAUUCAAUCAAGACUCUUAAUCACUUAAAAAAAGUCUAGUGGUAUUCAAAAUCAUUCAAAUUUCGAAGGAUUGUUUAAUAAAUCAGAUUUUGAUGGAUUUUGUGGAAUUUUCUAGUGAAAUUUUAGCAUGAAAAAGUCUUUCAUGAAAACAUAAGAUUUCUUAACAUUGUUUUUUUCUUUUAAGAUUUUACUAUCUCUCACUCUCUCCUCCCUUCUCUCUUACUCUCUCUCUCUCUCUAGCUCUCCCGUAAAAAACCUUUCUCUAGCUCUCCCGUAAAAAAUAUCUCUCUCUCUGAUUCCUUCACUCUCUCUCUCUAGCUCUAACUCUCCCGUAAAAAAUAAAAUAAAAUAAAUAAAAGAGUCUUUAUUGAGAUUUUGUAGCUCUAGCUCUCCCGUAAAAAAUAAAAUAAAAUAAAUAAAAGAGUCUUUAUUGAGAUUUUGUGAAAGAGAGUGUGUUAUGAUAUUUUUUUUCAAUUAUUUCUUAAAAUUCAUAAAAUCUGUUGAAAUCUGUUGAAAUCCAUAAAAUCAUUUCAAAUCCUUUAAAAUCUUAUUAAUUAAAUCCAUUGAAAUCCUUAAUAGUUUUUUAAAAUCAUCAAAGUAAUCAAAAUCUUACAAAGUCUUUUAAAAUCCUCAAUACUUUUUUAAACAAAAAUUGUCCUUUAAAAUCCUAAUCCAAUACACCCCCCUAAGUCUUGUUAACGAAUGCUUUCAUGACACUUUUUAAACGUUCUAAAUUAGAAAGUUAUUCUUGAAAAAAGUCAAACAGUUCAUUUUGCAUGCAUUAAAUACACAAAUUUUCAUAAAAAAGUUAUUACUUUAGACUCUUAAAGAGUGUCUCGGGUGCACUCGUUAACAUUUCCCUAUUGUUUUUAAGAUGAAUAAAGAGAUUGAUUGAUUUUGGCGGGUUAGAGUUUCUAAUGGUACCACCAGACUGCAUUUCAUUUAUAUUAAGAUAAGACAAGAGGAAGAGGAUGUAGUACCAUUUUUUUAUUCAAUUUUAAUCUUUUUAGAACUAUCAUGUAAAACCACUGAUGCCUCUAAAAUAAUCGACUCUAGGUGGUCACUGAUCUUGUCCAAGCUUAGAGUGCUCAUCACAUAUUGAUCCUAUGUUUAUGAGAUUUUGCUGGGUUCAUGAUAAACUUAUAAUUUAGGCUCUAACUAAUAAGUAGUGUAAAAAAUUUGAAUUUCAAAAAUGUAAAAAUAAUGUACUUGAAGAUGAUACUUCUUAUUUUAUUAAGAAAUAAUAUAAUUAAAACGACGUAGCAUGUUCUUACCCAUAUAAUAAAAAGAUAGCGUGCCAUGCAAAAACUCCCAUUAUCCAUUCAGCAUAUAUAAGUUCUAUACUAAUAAUCAUUAACACUAUAAUAACAUUUUAUAUUGGACCAGUUGUUAGUUUGACAAAGUUAUUCACUAGUAGUAGCUGUAUGCAUGGAAAGCAACUUGAUUAGAGUUGAGUUAAUUAAUUAGUCAAACACAUCUUCGUCGUUUUGUUAUUUUUUGGAGCUGACAAAUUAAUAUUGCUGAAUUUUUCUCUAAUCGGUCGCCGACUUAUGUCUUGUAAAUGGUUUUUUUGGCAUAUGGUCAAACUCAUUCAUUUUUUCCAAGGAUCAAAAUCAUUUCAUAUACUCCCUCCAUUUUAAAAUAAAUGAUUUAGUUGACUAUUACAUAUAACAAUAUAUAUCUUUGACCAUGCAGCCUAUCAUUUCCCCUAUCACUACUAAUGAUGAGAUUUUAGGGCCAGAUAAAAGAAAGGUUCACUUCACUUCUGGUCCUAAGAAUUUGUCUGCUGCCUGUUUGAAAGAUGGUAAAAUAUUGAGUAAGUAUUGGGGGGAAGAGGACACUGAUACUACUGAUGGCACAUUGGAACCUGAUACUGACCAUGAGGUUGAUACAGACCUGCAACAUUCUCAUGAAGCUGGUUUUAUUAAACUAGGCAGGAAAGGCCGGAAGAAAGCUGCUAAAAUCUUAGAUGGUAAAAACUCUGUCAGAAUUUCAACUAAAUAUAAGAAGACUAGUGUUCGCCUUAAGGACCAAGCAUGAAGUGCAUCCUUUGGACUUUUAGGGGAUUUGUCUUGUAAAUGGUUUUUUUGGCAUAUGGUCAAACUCAUUCCAUUUUUUCCAAGGAUCAAAAUCAUUUCAUUUCCGAAAAUGUUAAUUUGUGCCCUUAAGGCACAUGUUAAGGAAAUUAAAAUGGAAAUUUUGUUUAGGAAAUUGUGUCAAUUUAUUCUUCUAGAGAUUAAAAAUUAAUGUUUUGUAAUAAAUAUUUACUAUUUAUAGAAUCCUUAACAUAUGCCAUAAUGACACAAGUUAGCAUGACCCUUUGAUAUUUAAUAUUUUAAAUAUAAUCAUCAAAACAAUUCUAGUAAAGGCAUACUAAAAUUAAAAUAUUUAAUUUAUUUAUCACUAUAAAUGUAUUUUCUUCUCAAUAAUUUGGUUGAUAAUGGAUCGAGCUGAAUCGAACUUAGUUCAUUCAUCAAUGAUUGCAGCCAGUUCGCUGACAAGCAGCCAAUAACCCUGCAACAUAUUCUACCUCACAGUCAGAUAGAGCAAUCACCAAUUAUUUAUUGGAAUACCAAGAUAUUGGUGCACCCUGAAGAUUGAAGAAGUAUCCAUUUGACUUCUCAAAUGAAAUUCCAGCUUUCCAUUCAUUUGAGAAAUAUGAAAUUAAAUUCCAUAAUGUAUUAUUGUACCAUUAAUUUUAUCAGGAUAAGUUUUGCUGCAGGCAUGCGAGAUUUCAUAGGACUUCUCAUGAACCUACUAGCCAAUCCUACUGCGAAACAAGUAUUUGGCUUCUUUUGGCAGAAUUAUUUUAGAGAACCAAUAACCUUUGAACAUAGUUGGCUCAACUGGUUCUUCAUCACUUGCUUCUUCUGUUUUGAUCCUUGUUUCAGCUUGUGUAACUGCUGGGUUGUAUUCAAUCGUUUCAAAUUUCCUUAAUAUUUCAGUAGCAUACUUCACUUGGUGCAUAACUAGACGCUUUGAUGUUUCCAUAAAUUCUAUCCAUAGAAAUUAGGCUAGUUUUAUAUACACCAUGGUCAACACUACAUUCAUUAAAUCCUUGUUGAACGAAGAAUUUGUCAAGCCUUUUGGUCCAAACUCUUGAUGCUUGUUUCAAGCCAUAAAAAGCUUUAUGCAGUUUAUACACAUUUUCUUCUUUGCCUUUUAUCUCAAAUCCUGGAGAUAGCUUCACAUACAAUUUCUUCUAAUGGACCAUUCAAGAAAGCUGAUUUCACAUCCAAGUGAAAUAGAGGCCAUUUCCUAGUACAAGUUAACGCAAUAACUAACAUUAUAGUGUUACGCCUAGCAGGGCCGUCCCUAUAUAUUUGGAGCCUCGGUUCUCAAUCAAAAAUAGGCUCCUAAUAAAAUAAAAAUAUAAUUUUUUUAAAAAAGCAAUCAUCUAUUUAUAUUGAAAAUAAGAUCCGUAAAAAUAAACAUACAACUUCAAGCUAAUAUCUUUAUCAAUCUUCUUUCUUCAAAAAAAAUCUUUAUCAAUCUUCUACUUGUAAAAAAAAAUCUUUAUCAAUCAUCUAGGUUGUUAAUUUUCCUAGUUAAUUUGCACACAUGUAAAAAUAAAAGGUUUAUAAUGUUUUAUUUGAUAGAAUAAUUAUAAUGUUUGUUCUUUAAAAAAAAUUAUGAUGAUUGUUGUUAGAGAAUUAAAGCUUUGCUAUUUUAUAGGAUAAGUAUGGACGAAAAAUUACAAAUAAUGCUCUAAAAAAAUUAUAUUGUGUUUUUAUUUGUAAAUAUAUAAUCUAAUUUUUACCCAAAAAAAAUAGAGUAUUGAGGAUAGACGAGACUCAAAUUAUAAAAAUUAAUAAAAGAAAAAAAGGAAAGAGAAAAAAGGGAUAGAAAAAUUAAUCAAAGAAGAAAAACUAAGUAAAGGAAAAGAAAAAUCAAUCAAAGAAGAAAGAAGAAGAAAAGCUAAAGAAAAAUCAAUCAAAGAAGAAAGAAGAAGAAAAGGAAACGAAAUAUUAAUAAAAAUAAAAAGGGAAUCCUAGUGGCUGUUGAACACAAUUGUGAAAUGUUUGUCGCGCUAUUUAUAUAUUAUGUUUUUGUAUGCAGUAAACACAAAAAUAAAAUAUUUGGGCCUCAAAAAUUGGAGGCCCAGUUCAGUAGAGCUGUUUGCACCCCCCUCAAGGACGGCCCUGACGCCUAGCUAUUGGAGAGAAUACUUCAUAGUAGUUGAAAAAAGUAGUAAAAUUUAUCAGAGAAUAAAAUGAGUCUUCACGUAAUAAAACUUGUAUUUUUAAGAUGAAAAAAUAUAUUUUAUUUUAAAAUAAUAAUAUUCAUUGUGACUUUACUUAAAAGGUGCAUUUUCUCAAAUGUAUAUUUUCAUUUUAUGAGAAAAGAGUGCAUAUUAUAACAUGUUCAAGUAUGAAAUUAGCCACAAUUAAACUCUAAUUUUUUUUCAUUAAAAUAAAUAAGAAUGAGGAGUUUUUCUACUUCUUGGCUUGUUAUGUUAAUAGAUUUCUCAUAAAGAAUUUCCUUAAAAAAAAAUAUUUCUCAUAAUGAUUGUUUGUAUGAUUAAAAAAUAUCUAACACAUUUCAUCCCCCGGCUACAACACCUUGUUAUCUCUGGCAUCAAGCUCCUACCAACCAAAAAAUCCAUUGCACAACCAUCAUUCCAUUAACUUCCAUUUCCACAAUCAUAACAAAAACUUAGGAAGUUCCAACAUAUAAAGACAACAUGAACCAUCUACCUAGCUCUACACACUUUCCUUACAAUGGAAAAAAAAAAUGCAAGAUUUGACUCCAAUAUAAAAUUACUUUGGUCCAUUCAUUACCUGAAGGAAAUUAAACAAAUAACAUAUAUAUAACAACUUUCAUGUAUUUGUGGAACUACAAACAUUCAACUUAUAAAAAAUGUAAGAGCAACAACAAUACUACAAUUGCCAAUGUGUUCAAGAUCUAGUCAACCUUUAUGACUUAGACCUUAUAAUUAAUCAAUCCCACAAAAAUCUUUAUUCAAUUGCUUAUAAGCCCUCCAAUUCAAGAUCAAUUCACAAGCCUACAAUUCUUUCUAAUCUCCCCAUUAGUCCCAGUUAGAGGAUUAAUUUUACUCAGUUUCACCAUAGCAACAGCAAAGUCUCUUCUAAAAGUAGCACCAUUGGUACUAUAACUCCUAACCAAAUUAUCUUGAGACCCAUUAUUGAAAAGAGCUUGAUCAGAAUGGAAAAGACCUUUGCUUGCAACAAGAUUUUUAUAGUAAUUGUUGUCAAAAUUUGUUGGAGUGAGAGUGUCAAGAGGUGCUAAAUUGGUGUCACCACCAGAAAGAGGACAAUUUAAUUUCCUUAAGGUUGCAAAGUUUGUGUCAAUGUUGGUUUCAUUGUAUAUGCGAUUUCUGAAAAAUUGGCACUCUCCUUGGCCUAUGGUGUGUGCACCAGAAAGUACUGUGAGGUCACUUGCAGUUAGACCCUUGUCUGUAAACAUUUUGGUGAGAGUGGAAAG
This 15350-nucleotide long non-coding RNA is filed under the name Medicago truncatula (barrel medic). RNAcentral describes it as "long non-coding RNA (MTRU_LNC008775)". Lineage: Eukaryota; Viridiplantae; Streptophyta; Magnoliopsida; Fabales; Fabaceae. The record is from RNAcentral.